Molecule: non-coding RNA, 439 nt
Organism: Lonchura striata (white-rumped munia)
Lineage: Eukaryota; Metazoa; Chordata; Aves; Passeriformes; Estrildidae
Source: RefSeq, a predicted model, not a curated record
AGAGCAGCAGAGUCCCGGAGGUUGCGCCCGGAGCAGCAUUCCCGGGAUAUUCCCGGGAUAUUCCCGGGAUAUUCCCCAUUCCCAGGGAACCUGGGGGAGCUCUGCCUUCCCAGGGCAUCCCAAAAGAAGCGCUGGAUCUCUCCCUGCACACAAAAACUCCCGCUGGGAAUUUCCCUUCCCUGUUUUCCACAGCUGCACCCCCUCGGCCGCGCAGACAGAUCGGAUUCCCCGAGAAAAUUCCAGAGGCGCUUCCAGUGUUUCAAAGGAAAAUGAAGCCCCUUUGGAAAUGUGAAGCUCCGAGAUAAUGACCGGAUCGCUCCAGGACUGGAUGGGAACAGAACCACUCUGGAUCUUCCAAACCACUGAUGGGGCCUUGUGGAUCCAAGGAAACACGACGGCCCCAUGGAAAUCCGUGGAAUAAAUUGGGAUAUCGCUCCUG